UGCAAGGCCAAAUUAAAUCAUUACAACCUUAUCAACCAUAAUAUUUAAUUUUAAUAAUGAUUCAUAAAACUUGCAUAAUUACAAUUAAUAUUUCUUCAAUCCUCUGAUCAGGUAUCAAUGGUACUCUAUCUAUGCAUCCGCUCACUCACAAAUCCAUACCAUAGCCAACCAUGGACAUCUUGUAACUCUGAGAAGAAAAAGAAAAUGAAGGGGUGUGAGCUUUACAG
This 227-nucleotide long non-coding RNA is filed under the name Elaeis guineensis (African oil palm). RNAcentral describes it as "long non-coding RNA (EGUI_LNC073886)". The record is from RNAcentral. Lineage: Eukaryota; Viridiplantae; Streptophyta; Magnoliopsida; Arecales; Arecaceae.